Long non-coding RNA from Sycon ciliatum, 383 nucleotides. RefSeq lists it as uncharacterized. Lineage: Eukaryota; Metazoa; Porifera; Calcarea; Leucosolenida; Sycettidae. The record is from RefSeq and is a predicted model, not a curated record. The transcript has 3 exons.
UCUGCAUUAGUAGCUCCUGUAGAAUGUCUUCUGGGAUGGCGUAUCCAUGGUCAACAAAGCCAAGGUGCAAGACAGCAUAAGAGAUCGUGUAAACGAUGGGAACUCCAAAAGAUAAUCUGGACAAAUAAAUUAUAUUGUAACUGGAGAGUGCAAUCGUGCUUGGGACCCAUCCCAAUGUCAUCACAUGGCUGUGGUGACUAUUGUAUACCUGUACCUGGGAGAGUUUUCCUCAACUGAGACGGAGUGUAGGUGGAUGGAUUAUGAGAAAUGCGAAGAUGUGGAGUUCAAGGCUAGAUGCACUUCACAUUCGGCGUGCGAUCUCGGCGUCUGGGACCUGAUAACGUCUUGGUUGGAUGGGUAAUCAAGGACGAUACUACUCGGCG